RNAcentral lists this ribosomal RNA (253 nucleotides) under uncultured bacterium. RNAcentral describes it as "partial 16S ribosomal RNA". It matches the Rfam family "Bacterial small subunit ribosomal RNA", at positions 524 to 776 of the family's 1533-position model. The record is from RNAcentral.
UACGGGGGGGGCAAGCGUUGUUCGGAAUUACUGGGCGUAAAGGGCUCGUAGGCGGCGAACUAAGUCAGACGUGAAAUCCCUCGGCUUAACCGGGGAACUGCAUCUGAUACUGGAUGGCUUGAGAUUGGGAGAGGGAUGCGGAAUUCCAGGUGUAGCGGUGAAAUGCGUAGAUAUCUGGAGGAACACCGGUGGCGAAGGCGGGUCUCUGGGCAGUAACUGACGCUGAGGAGCGAAAGCGUGGGGAGCGAACAGG